RNAcentral lists this long non-coding RNA (757 nucleotides) under Volvox carteri. RNAcentral's name for it is "long non-coding RNA (VCAR_LNC000850)". The record is from RNAcentral. Lineage: Eukaryota; Viridiplantae; Chlorophyta; Chlorophyceae; Chlamydomonadales; Volvocaceae.
GCCUCAGUUAGUACGCUUAAACAAAAAAUUGAGGCUCCGACGUGCGCCCUCAAACUUCGUCAUUGUAUAUCGGUAAACGGCAAGCAACCAUGUCUGCGUCAUUGACAUAUAAGAAAGGGUGAUUGUGAGGUACAUGAUCCCAAUGUUUUGGCAAGUAAUCCCGUGCCGCAAAAGCAGUUAAACGGGCCCAAAAGUCAGAGAUAACCUCGUAUGUAAUGCGGUUAAGCGAUGGCGUUGAUAUAGGCAUGUUGGUCUGGAGACCUUCCUUAUAGAGUCUCCAUAGAGUCAUAGAGUCUCCAUAGAGUCAUAGAGUCAUAGAGUCAUAGAGUCUCCACGUUGGUUUGGCUUCUUUGGCGAUGAGGCCGUAUGAGACGAUCGCCCAAAGAGGCGCCCAUGCGCCCAUGCAUUGAAGGUCACCCAUGCAACAAGCAUUCACGGUCCCUUACCUUUCGUUUUCCCCGUCAUGACAAACGUCAAGUUACUCUGGAAGCCACUACGCCCCAUUAUCCCCUAGCAACCCCGCUGCGCUGUGCUGUACAGAGCAUUUUCGGCUCCAGCCCGGUCGCAGAGAGAGCGCCACCCGCGUACCUCCAUGCAAGCUCUAUCCUGGCUUGGCAUGCUGCACGUGUUGAGGUAAGAGUUGUUUCUUUUGUAAAAGGCUUAUGAUGCAAGCGGUCGACCCGACGAUCAGCUGGUGGCAGCAGACUUUUUAAUCGCGCGCGCCAAAGUACGUGUUUGAAACGAUUUGCGCUGUCCC